UUGGUCCUAAACUUGCCAUUGUUUUUAAUAAAAAUUACACAUGCAAGCUUCAACACACCAGUGAGAAUGCCCACAAACCCCUAAACAGUUUACAGGAGCAGGCAUCAGGAACACCAGUUGUUUGCCUACGACGCCUUGCUAUGCCACACCCACAAGGGCCCUCAGCAGUGAGAAAUAUUAAGAAAUAAGCGAAAGCUUGACUUAGUCAUUAUUAAUAUGGUCGGUAAAUCUCGUGCCAGCCACCGCGGUUAUACGAAAGACCAAAAACAAUGGCCCGCGGCGUAAAGAGUGAUAAAAGAGGACCCCCCAAUUUAAAGGGAAACUACAACAAAGUUGUAAAAUACUACUGAAUGUAGGAACCACAACAACAAAAUGCCUUUAAACCACUUAACCUCACGAAAGCUGAGAAACAAACUGGGAUUAGAUACCCCACUAUGCUCAGCCGUCAACAAAGACAGUAUAAAACACAACACUGUUCGCCAGAGAACUACAAGCUUAAAGCUAAAAACUCCAAGGACUUGGCGGUGCUCCACAUCCCCCUAGAGGAGCCUGUCCUAUAAUCGAUACCCCCCGAUCCACCUCACCAUUUUUUGAAACUCAGCCUAUAUACCGCCGUCGACAGCCUACCUUAUGAAAGAAGCACAGUAAGCAAAAUAGUCACCAACUAAAACGUCAGGUCAAGGUGUAGCACAUAAAAUGGAAGAGAUGGGCUACACUCUCUCCCACAGAGAACACGAAGAGCACCAAUGAAACACUGCUCAAAGGUGGAUUUAGUAGUAAGAUAAACAAGAGAACUUAUCUAAAACCAGCCCUGGAGCGCGCACACACCGCCCGUCACCCUCAUCA
Molecule: non-coding RNA, 846 nt
Filed under: Oligosoma alani
Lineage: Eukaryota; Metazoa; Chordata; Lepidosauria; Squamata; Scincidae
Description: partial 12S ribosomal RNA
Rfam family: Bacterial small subunit ribosomal RNA
Source: RNAcentral